AAGACUAUACUUUCAGGGAUCAUUUCUACAGUUUGUUACUGGAGAAAUUUUUCUGAAUGCAUAGAGCGCAUGAAACCACAAGGAGGAGGCACAGCGCUCUUCCUGAAUGUGAAGCAGCUGUUGGUGGUGCUUUUGCAACUACUAUUGGCUGUUGAUGAUCAUUCUUCUCUUCCUUCGAGAGUGUAAGAGGGAGAGGAUGCAGUCGUAGUGGU
This is a small nucleolar RNA of Phyllostomus hastatus (greater spear-nosed bat), 212 nucleotides long. RefSeq annotates it as small nucleolar RNA U3. NCBI's taxonomy places the organism in Eukaryota, Metazoa, Chordata, Mammalia, Chiroptera, Phyllostomidae. The transcript has a single exon. The record is from RefSeq and is a predicted model, not a curated record.